RNAcentral lists this ribosomal RNA (531 nucleotides) under Escherichia coli. RNAcentral's name for it is "partial 16S ribosomal RNA". It matches the Rfam family "Bacterial small subunit ribosomal RNA", at positions 1 to 504 of the family's 1533-position model. Lineage: Bacteria; Pseudomonadati; Pseudomonadota; Gammaproteobacteria; Enterobacterales; Enterobacteriaceae. The record is from RNAcentral.
UGAGCGGAUUUACAAUUUCACACAGGAGAGUUUGAUCAUGGCUCAGAUUGAACGCUGGCGGCAGGCCUAACACAUGCAAGUCGAGCGGUAGCACAGAGAGCUUGCUCUCGGGUGACGAGCGGCGGACGGGUGAGUAAUGUCUGGGAAACUGCCUGAUGGAGGGGGAUAACUACUGGAAACGGUAGCUAAUACCGCAUAAUGUCGCAAGACCAAAGUGGGGGACCUUCGGGCCUCAUGCCAUCAGAUGUGCCCAGAUGGGAUUAGCUAGUAGGUGGGGUAACGGCUCACCUAGGCGACGAUCCCUAGCUGGUCUGAGAGGAUGACCAGCCACACUGGAACUGAGACACGGUCCAGACUCCUACGGGAGGCAGCAGUGGGGAAUAUUGCACAAUGGGCGCAAGCCUGAUGCAGCCAUGCCGCGUGUGUGAAGAAGGCCUUCGGGUUGUAAAGCACUUUCAGCGGGGAGGAAGGCGUUAAGGUUAAUAACCUUGGCGAUUGACGUUACCCGCAGAAGAAGCACCGGCUAACUCC